This 253-nucleotide ribosomal RNA is filed under the name uncultured bacterium. RNAcentral's name for it is "partial 16S ribosomal RNA". It matches the Rfam family "Bacterial small subunit ribosomal RNA", at positions 524 to 776 of the family's 1533-position model. The record is from RNAcentral.
UACGGGGGGGGUAAGCGUUGUUCGGAAUUACUGGGCGUAAAGGGCUCGUAGGCGGCCAACUAAGUCAGACGUGAAAUCCCCGGGCUCAACCCGGGAACUGCGUCCGAUACUGGAUGGCUUGAAUCCGGGAGAGGGAUGCAGAAUUCCAGGUGUAGCGGUGAAAUGCGUAGAUAUCUGGAGGAAUACCGGUGGCGAAGGCGGCAUCCUGGACCGGCAUUGACGCUGAGGAGCGAAAGCCAGGGGAGCAAACGGG